GGACGGCCCGCGGGCCCGGGGCCGCCUCUAUAAAGCAGCGAGCUGCGGGCACUCAUCUGCCGGCAGCCGGGCCGUGAGUGCGGGAGAUGCAGGUGUGCCCGCAGCGCCAGAGGAGAAACGUCAUUUGACUCACUGAAGAUUUAAAACCAACAGAGUCAUGUGGGAGAAAAUGAAAUUUUAGUCUCAAGUGGCAGAAUCGAGUCAUAAGAAGUAAAGAGAUUUGGAUGGUUUCUCACUAAAUGGAAAUUAUAUAGAAGGCUUCUAAGACCACUGCAUCUCUCCAUCCCGCUCCUGCUGCACAGAGACUGCACUCU
Molecule: long non-coding RNA, 314 nt
Filed under: Junco hyemalis (dark-eyed junco)
Lineage: Eukaryota; Metazoa; Chordata; Aves; Passeriformes; Passerellidae
Description: lncRNA (ENSJHYG00000005495.1)
Source: RNAcentral